CGAGCGAGCGGAACUACAGAUUUACUUCGGUAAUGACGUUAGGAAAGCGAGCGGCGGAUGGGUGAGUAACACGUGGGGAACCUGCCCCAUAGUCUGGGAUACCACUUGGAAACAGGUGCUAAUACCGGAUAAGAAAGCAGAUCGCAUGGUCAGCUUUUAAAAGGCGGCGUAAGCUGUCGCUAUGGGAUGGCCCCGCGGUGCAUUAGCUAGUUGGUAAGGUAAAGGCUUACCAAGGCGAUGAUGCAUAGCCGAGUUGAGAGACUGAUCGGCCACAUUGGGACUGAGACACGGCCCAAACUCCUACGGGAGGCAGCAGUAGGGAAUCUUCCACAAUGGACGCAAGUCUGAUGGAGCAACGCCGCGUGAGUGAAGAAGGUUUUCGGAUCGUAAAGCUCUGUUGUUGGUGAAGAAGGAUAGAGGUAGUAACUGGCCUUUAUUUGACGGUAAUCAACCAGAAAGUCACGGCUAACUACGUGCCAGCAGCCGCGGUAAUACGUAGGUGGCAAGCGUUGUCCGAAUUUAUUGGGCGUAAAGCGAGCGCAGGCGGAAGAAUAAGUCUGAUGUGAAAGCCCUCGGCUUAACCGAGGAACUGCAUCGGAAACUGUUUUUCUUGAGUGCAGAAGAGGAGAGUGGAACUCCAUGUGU
This 645-nucleotide ribosomal RNA is filed under the name uncultured bacterium. RNAcentral describes it as "bacterial SSU rRNA". It matches the Rfam family "Bacterial small subunit ribosomal RNA", at positions 63 to 676 of the family's 1533-position model. The record is from RNAcentral.